Molecule: long non-coding RNA, 587 nt
Organism: Sinocyclocheilus grahami
Lineage: Eukaryota; Metazoa; Chordata; Actinopteri; Cypriniformes; Cyprinidae
Exons: 4
Source: RefSeq, a predicted model, not a curated record
CAGGGGCUGUUUCCAAAUGCGGACUGUGAAAGGCUUUGGGCGUUUUGCUUUAGGAUUUUCAAAGGUGUGAAUCUUGUUUCAUGAUUUAUCAGAAUUUUGUCCUCCGGAGAGGAAAUGCAUAAUGCAAAGAGGCCUUAGGUCGACUUUGCUUGAGGAAGUAUUGGAAGACGCCCAUGGGAGCAGCCAGUCAUCCAUCACAGGCCAGUGUUGAGUCCCACAGCAGCAAAGCAGCUAAUAGUGACACAGAACCCUGGGGAGGAGACCAAGCAGUCGCCUGCUACGAAAACAGAGCAGUGGAGGGGAUCAAGGGCUGGAAGGGCCAUGGUCUUUCUCCUUCUCGCUUCGAAAAUGUUCCUCACAUUCCCGGCAAUCUGUCGUGCUGCAUCUGUCCCAUAUGGCUGAAAGGGCGGACAUGACUAAUCUAAGCCUGCCAUCUGGUUAAAGAUAUGGCCCCUGCUGUCGCCUGUAUUUCCCAUGAAUUCUCACUGCUCCUCUCCCCAUGGAGACACAUCCGGAAAGGUCAAAGUUCAACCCCAUGACCUGCAGAGAGGUAUUGCUCCUGCUGCUCAGAGGUCACGUCCCCUCUC